RNAcentral lists this ribosomal RNA (491 nucleotides) under uncultured bacterium. RNAcentral's name for it is "partial 16S ribosomal RNA". It matches the Rfam family "Bacterial small subunit ribosomal RNA", at positions 28 to 507 of the family's 1533-position model. The record is from RNAcentral.
GAUGAACGCUAGCUACAGGCUUAACACAUGCAAGUCGAGGGGAAACGACAUUGAAGCUUGCUUCGAUGGUCGUCGACCGGCGCACGGGUGGGUAACGCGUAUCCAACCUGCCUCUGACCAAGGGAUAACCCGUCGAAAGUCGGCCUAAUACCUUAUGCAGUCGUCGGAAGUCAUCUGAUGACGACGAAAGAUUUCAUCGGUGAGAGAUGGGGAUGCGUCUGAUUAGCUUGUUGGCGGGGUAACGGCCCACCAAGGCAACGAUCAGUAGGGGUUCUGAGAGGAAGGUCCCCCACAUUGGAACUGAGACACGGUCCAAACUCCUACGGGAGGCAGCAGUGAGGAAUAUUGGUCAAUGGGCGAGAGCCUGAACCAGCCAAGUAGCGUGCAGGAUGACGGCCCUAGGGGUGGUAAACUGCUUUUAGGCGGGGAUAAAGUGAGGGACGUGUCCUUCAUUGCAGGUACCGCAUGAAUAAGGACCGGCUAAUUCCGUG